This 449-nucleotide ribosomal RNA is filed under the name uncultured bacterium. Its description in RNAcentral is "bacterial SSU rRNA". It matches the Rfam family "Bacterial small subunit ribosomal RNA", at positions 329 to 793 of the family's 1533-position model. The record is from RNAcentral.
GGCCAGACUCCUACGGGAGGCAGCAGUAGGGAAUUUUCGGCAAUGGGGGGAACCCUGAACCAGCAACGCCGCGUGAGGGAAGACGGUUUUCGGAUUGUAAACCUCUGUCCUCUGUGAAGAUAAUGACGGUAGCAGAGGAGGAAGCUCCGGCUAACUACGUGCCAGCAGCCGCGGUAAUACGUAGGGAGCGAGCGUUGUCCGGAUUUACUGGGUGUAAAGGGAGCGUAGACGGCACUGCAAGUCCGGAGUGAAAGCCCAAGGCUUAACCAUGGGACUGCUCUGGAAACUGUGGAGCUUGAGUGCGGGAGGGGCAGGCGGAAUUCCUGGUGUAGCGGUGAAAUGCGUGGAUAUCAGGAGGAACACCGGUGGCGAAGGCGGCCUGCUGGACUGCGACUGACGUUGAGGCCCGAAAGCGUGGGGAGCAAACAGGAUUAGAUACCCCUGUACUG